CCUACGGGAGGCAGCAGUGAGGAAUAUUGGUCAAUGGUCGCGAGCCUGAACCAGCCAAGUAGCGUGAAGGAUGACUGCCCUACGGGUUGUAAACUUCUUUUAUAAAGGAAUAAAGUGAGGCACGUGUCCCUUGUUGUGUGUACUUUAUGAAUAAGGAUCGGCUAACUCCGUGCCAGCAGCCGCGGUAAUACGGAGGAUCCGAGCGUUAUCCGGAUUUAUUGGGUUUAAAGGGAGCGUAGAUGGGUUGUUAAGUCAGUUGUGAAAGUUUGCGGCUCAACCGUAAAAUGGCAAUUGAUACUGGCAGUCGUGAGUACAGUUGAGGUAGGCGGAAUUCGUGGUGUAGCGGUGAAAUGCUUAGAUAUCACGAAGAACUCCGAUUGCGAAGGCAGCAUACUAAACUGCCACUGACAUUGAGGCUCGAAAGUGUGGGUAUCAAACAGGAUUAGAUACCCGUGUAGUC
This 460-nucleotide ribosomal RNA is filed under the name uncultured bacterium. RNAcentral's name for it is "partial 16S ribosomal RNA". It matches the Rfam family "Bacterial small subunit ribosomal RNA", at positions 338 to 795 of the family's 1533-position model. The record is from RNAcentral.